This 4646-nucleotide long non-coding RNA is filed under the name Brassica napus (rape). RNAcentral describes it as "long non-coding RNA (BNAP_LNC021654)". Lineage: Eukaryota; Viridiplantae; Streptophyta; Magnoliopsida; Brassicales; Brassicaceae. The record is from RNAcentral.
UACCAUUUUCCUACCACAACGCUUGUAUUCACAUCUUUGGGAAGCUCAGGACGAAGAUUAGCGUUGAUUCCCUUUGCAUCAUCUAUCAAACCAAAGUCUUGAGAGUUUGAGUACUCAACGGUCCAAUACUUUCUCCUAAGGAACUUAGGUGGUAUCCCAUUAGGAGCAACAGAAGUGGCUGUGUUAUAGCGAGAUAAUGCUCGGCGUUGAUGGAUCUCGAAUUGUUGGUAUAUGUCAUAAGGAUCUGGUUCUUGUGGCCUAGCUUCAGGGAUAUAGCUAAAGCAAAAGCAGCAGGGGACUCUGUCUUCUUCUGUUGCACUUGCUGAAGCUCCUCUGCAUGAAAAGUUUAGGGUUUUAGGAAUAUUUUUGCGCAAGUUAGGUUUUUCAGCUUCGACAACACCGAGUAACGUGAAUCAAUAGUCAAACCAAAGCCAUGCCAAGAAAGCCAAACCAAUAAGGAAAUAAACCGGUUUAGUUUUAUAUUUAUAUAUAACCAAGACACCCUGAACCAAAUGAUGCUAGAAUCUAUUUUCAUCAAUGUUCUAAAAAUCGGACCAUAAGCUAACACAUAAUUAGAUUAUGAAUAAAUAUUAAAUAUAAAACAUUGAGAAUAUUAGCUGAUUCAUGAAUUUUUAAUAAUUUUAAUAGUUUUUAUCCAGUUAAAUAAUUUAAAAAUCUAACUCUGAUAUGUAACCGGUUUAUAGUUGAACCUGGUCUAAUUGGGUCAGUCUGGUUUUAAAGGCACUGAUUUUCAUCAACCAUAACACAAAAUAAUUGAUUGAUUAUUUUGGUCAUACAUACCCUGAGUGCUUCCCACGUCGUUUAAUGACAUAAUAACGGUUCAAAGAUAGAGGCUGUCCAGGAACCGGAAUGAACAGAACCGGGUCAUGGUAACUGCGCCUGUUUUUACCAGUUCCGGUUCUGUAAGUCACAGUUAGCUUUGCGUUCUGAGGGAACGGUAAGCCUCUGAGUUCACCAUCGUAGCAAGAUCCGAAGCAACAAGUCGGCCUUGACUCUUCAUCUUGAAUCACAAGUACGCCGGAGUUUGGACCUUCCGGCAACGAUUGUGUCAAGUUUCUCUGGUAUUCUGAGAGAUGCCUUGUUACAUACAUCUUGAAGUCAGAAUCUUUAAGGUAAUUAGUUAUAAAUCAAGAAGAUGUGAUUUUCUUUAUAUAGAGCAUCAUGGAUUUGAGGGAUAAAGCCGUAAGCUAAUUUUACAAGUAAUUGUUUAAAGACUUUUCAAAGAUUUUGAGUUAAAUGGUCAACUUUGAAUUUCAAAGUUAUGACCUUCACUUGGUCUCACAAACCUAUCAUGAAGAAUCAAUCUAGUCCAAGAUUCCUUUAAUUAAUAUUUUCAUGAAUGUAUGAUAGCUUCGAUGUUACUCCAUCCGAUUUAUUAUAAGUGUCAUUUUGACAUUUUUCAAGGAGAUUAAGAAAAUUGUAUAAUAGACUAAUAUAUUUUAUUUAAUGUAUGAUUAAUUAAAUGAAAAUAAUUUAAAUAAAAAUCUAUUAGUUAUUCAAGAGAGUAAAAAGUAGAUUUAAUAUACAAAGUUACAUUGAAAAUUAUUUGAAACAAAAUAAAAAAUCUAAAGUGAUACUUAUUAUGAAAUAGAUGGAGUAUUAUAUUCCUUAGUAUGAAAACAGCUUAACGGUAAAAACAAGUUCAACUGUAAAUAAAUCGCAUUGACCAAUGGAAGCUCACAUCAUCGAGAUUAAUCAAGCUUUUGAAGAUUACGUUGCGCCAAUAAGCUUACUCCAUUUACUCUUGACCUUAUCAACGUGUCUGAACUCAUAUGUUAAGACCAAGCUCUCAUCCAUUCUCUUCAAUACGAAGCUCUCUAUCAAAACAUAACAAUGAUAACUCUUCCAAAAACUACCAUCUUUUGGUUUCUCCUCCAGUCUCUUAACCACCAUUGCUCGCUCCUGCUCGCCUUUGCUUCUCCACCCAAAUCUCUCUUCUUCCCAUUUCAUCCUCUCAACAACCACUGACCUUAAACCGAUCUUCCUGUCUCCAACCCCAAACCAAACAAACCGUCUUUGCACUCAUGGGAGUUAUAUACCUUUUGCCUACUCCAACACAUUGCAGCAAAGAGAAAUAAUGACCUCGAAAGUUUUGUGUUGCUUCUGGAUGAUAUAUGGGAGAAAGUGAAUUUGAAAGCGGUUGGAGUACCACAUCCGAGCAGACAAAACAGAUGCAAAGUAGCCUUUACCACUCGUUCUAGAGAUUGUCGAUGGUCUAGACUUGGAAGAGGAAGAGCCUUUCAUGGAUUCUUCUUGGCCUCAUUAGCACCUUUCCUACGAGCUUCUCUUGAGACUCAUAUAUCGCUUCACCUGAGACUGACACAAAGCUGGCUAAGAAGUACAUAGACCAGUCUUUCGUUACACGGUUACUGGAUCUGUUUGACUCCGAGGAUCCUAGAGAAAGAGACUGUCUCAAAACCCUUGUCUACGGUAAAUUUAUGGCUCACCGUCCGUUCAUCAGGAAAUCAAUAAACAGCGUUUUCUACAGGUUUGUUUUCGAGACUGAGAAACACAACGGGAUCGCUGAGUUUCUUGAGAUUUUGGGAUCAUCAAAUAGAUUCGCUCUGCCGCUUAAAGACGAGCACAGAGUGUUUCUCGUUAGAGCUUUGGUACCUCUCCACAAACCGAAAUGCUUUACCUAGCUUGACGCUAGACGUGCUGGUGCAGACGAUAUUUAAUGAUAUUGAUCCAGAGUUCUUUAAGGAAUGUCUUACUAAGUUUAGAUAUAAUGAAUCAAAAGAAUCUGAAGUUGAUGCAAAACGUCAGGCCACAUGGAAACGGUUGGAAGAAAUUGGGAUGCAAAAGGAGAAGAGUGCAUCUUAAGUAUCUUUAGUUGUAGAGAGAGGUUUUGUUUGUCUAUUACCGUUUUCUACUACAUCCACGAAAGAUACCUUUACUUGGUAUCACAAACCUAUCAUGAGAAUUAUUCAAAUCAGUUAUAGAUUAUUCAUUAUAAAGAGCAAAAAGAAAUUAGGGUUUAUAUAUUGAUUAUGUGAAUGAAUAAGGUACCAAGGGAGCUGACAAUGCAAUCACCAUGUGACACUUUUCCAUAUUUUGGCCUUAUUCAACACUAAAUUUCUUGAUGUUUAACCGAAAGAUUAAUGCAUUUUGGGGACAUAGUAACCAAAUCAAUUCUAUUAAAAAUUUCAAAUAUAUAUACCACAAACUGGAAAGUUAUAGCUAACCUUUCACUGAUAAAGAAAACUUUAAAAUACUUUCAGAAUUAACACAAAGUUUAUAAGAACUUUAGUUUUAAUUUUUACGUAUAAACUUGCACGAAGCUUUUAUUAAAAUAAACACACCAUAAAAUGGAACAUGACACACACAGAAGCUGAAUAGACUCAAACCCACCUGCUCUUCAGCUUAUCAACAUGUCUAAACUCAUAUGUCAACACCAAACUCCCAUCAGUUCUCUUUAAUUCAAAGCUCUCUACAAGUACAUAGCAUUUAUAGCUCUUCCAGUGUGGUGAACCGCCUUCGAAUCUCUCUGAUCUCUUAAUGCUAGACCUUACUCCAUCGCCUUUAUUUAACCAACCAAACCUCUCCUCUUCCCACUUAAUUCCCUCCACGACCACUGACCCAAGACCUAUCUUCUUGUCUUGUCUCUCAUCCCUUAAGACACUAAACCAAACAACUCCAUCAGUUCUUGUCUCUCUCAGAUUGGUUACUUCUCCAUCAAGCUUCACCACUUCUGUUUCUACUUCAACAUCAACCACAACCUCACUUUCUUCACUAACGUUCUCGCUUGAGUAAACCUCUUCCCAUCUUUGUUUAAGAGUCAUACUGUAAUAAGUUGAGGUUUUUAUCUGACCUUUUGCAUCUCCUUCCUUCACAAAUAUGAAAGGGACAUACCAUUUUCCUACCACAACGCUUGUAUUCACAUCUUUGGGAAGCUCAGGACGAAGAUUAGCGUUGAUUCCCUUUGCAUCAUCUAUCAAACCAAAGUCUUGAGAGUUUGAGUACUCAACGGUCCAAUACUUUCUCCUAAGGAACUUAGGUGGUAUCCCAUUAGGAGCAACAGAAGUGGCUGUGUUAUAGCGAGAUAAUGCUCGGCGUUGAUGGAUCUCGAAUUGUUGGUAUAUGUCAUAAGGAUCUGGUUCUUGUGGCCUAGCUUCAGGGAUAUAGCUAAAGCAAAAGCAGCAGGGGACUCUGUCUUCUUCUGUUGCACUUGCUGAAGCUCCUCUGCAUGAAAAGUUUAGGGUUUUAGGAAUAUUUUUGCGCAAGUUAGGUUUUUCAGCUUCGACAACACCGAGUAACGUGAAUCAAUAGUCAAACCAAAGCCAUGCCAAGAAAGCCAAACCAAUAAGGAAAUAAACCGGUUUAGUUUUAUAUUUAUAUAUAACCAAGACACCCUGAACCAAAUGAUGCUAGAAUCUAUUUUCAUCAAUGUUCUAAAAAUCGGACCAUAAGCUAACACAUAAUUAGAUUAUGAAUAAAUAUUAAAUAUAAAACAUUGAGAAUAUUAGCUGAUUCAUGAAUUUUUAAUAAUUUUAAUAGUUUUUAUCCAGUUAAAUAAUUUAAAAAUCUAACUCUGAUAUGUAACCGGUUUAUAGUUGAACCUGGUCUAAUUGGGUCAGUCUGGUUUUAAAGGCACUGAUUUUCAUCAACCAUAACACAAAAUAAUU